GAUGAACGCUGGCGGCGUGCCUAACACAUGCAAGUCGAACGGAGAUUACGGACGGAAGUUUUCGGAUGGAAGCCUGUAAUUCUUAGUGGCGGACGGGUGAGUAACGCGUGGGCAACCUGCCCUAUACAGGGGGAUAGCAGCUGGAAACGGCUGGUAAGACCGCAUAAGUCGGUUAAAUCGCAUGAUUUGAUCGGGAAAUGAGCAAUCAGGUAUAGGAUGGGCCCGCGUCCGAUUAGCCAGUUGGGAGGGUAAAAGCCUACCAAAGGGACGAUCGGUAGCCGGGAGUGGAGGGACGGCCGACACUAUUGGGACUGGGACCAGGCCCGAAUCCUACGGGAGGGGAGAAUGGGUGAUAUUGCACAAUGGAGGAAACUCUGAUGCAGCGACGCCGCGUGAGUGAAGAAGUAUUUCGGUAUGUAAAGCUCUAUCAGCAGGGAAGAUGAUGACGGUACCUGACUAAGAAGCCCCGGCUAACUACGUG
RNAcentral lists this ribosomal RNA (481 nucleotides) under uncultured bacterium. Its description in RNAcentral is "partial 16S ribosomal RNA". It matches the Rfam family "Bacterial small subunit ribosomal RNA", at positions 28 to 507 of the family's 1533-position model. The record is from RNAcentral.